Molecule: ribosomal RNA, 307 nt
Filed under: uncultured bacterium
Lineage: Bacteria
Description: partial 16S ribosomal RNA
Rfam family: Bacterial small subunit ribosomal RNA
Source: RNAcentral
AGACAGCAGUCGCCACGGUAAUACAGAGGGUGCAAGCGUUAAUCGGAAUUACUGGGCGUAAAGCGCGCGUAGGUGGUUUGUUAAGUUGGAUGUGAAAGCCCCGGGCUCAACCUGGGAACUGCAUCCAAAACUGGCAAGCUAGAGUACGGUAGAGGGUGGUGGAAUUUCCUGUGUAGCGGUGAAAUGCGUAGAUAUAGGAAGGAACACCAGUGGCGAAGGCGACCACCUGGACUGAUACUGACACUGAGGUGCGAAAGCGUGGGGAGCAAACAGGAUUAGAUACCCGAGUAGUCCCUGUCUCUUAUAC